This 209-nucleotide ribosomal RNA is filed under the name uncultured bacterium. RNAcentral describes it as "partial 16S ribosomal RNA". It matches the Rfam family "Bacterial small subunit ribosomal RNA", at positions 568 to 775 of the family's 1533-position model. The record is from RNAcentral.
CGCGUAGGCGGAUGUGACAGUCAGGCGUGAAAUUCCUGGGCUCAACCUGGGGGCUGCGUUUGAUACGUUAUGUCUGGAGUUCGGAAGAGGGUCGUGGAAUUCCCAGUGUAGAGGUGAAAUUCGUAGAUAUUGGGAAGAACACCGGUGGCGAAGGCGGCGACCUGGUCCUGGACUGACGCUGAGGCGCGAAAGCGUGGGGAAGCAAACAG